Osmia bicornis bicornis is the source of this 342-nucleotide long non-coding RNA. RefSeq lists it as uncharacterized. The record is from RefSeq and is a predicted model, not a curated record. Lineage: Eukaryota; Metazoa; Arthropoda; Insecta; Hymenoptera; Megachilidae. The transcript has 3 exons.
AAAAAGAUGUGUUUGGAUUAGAGUUAUUUAUCCAACAAGUGAGUUUAUGGCAGUGAAUGAAAAAAGGCAUGAAGGUACUUGCGAGUACAUACCAGUCCAAAAGUUAUCCACUGUUUCAUGCUGAGGAUUUCGGGGGCCUCUUCUUUUGCUUCGCACUCCUUCCUUAGCAGUGCGAAGCGCAGCUUUCAAGUGUUCCGCUACAUCCUUGCGGGACGGCCUUAGGAAGUGCCUAUUCCGGAGCACGGCAUCUAAAAAUCAAAUCACGAACAAUUCUUGUCUCGCAAAGUGCGAGAUUGUUAUCUUCGCGGCCCAACCAGGAAUAAGAUGUUAGCAAGCAGUCAC